This 440-nucleotide ribosomal RNA is filed under the name uncultured bacterium. Its description in RNAcentral is "partial 16S ribosomal RNA". It matches the Rfam family "Bacterial small subunit ribosomal RNA", at positions 338 to 795 of the family's 1533-position model. The record is from RNAcentral.
CCUACGUGGCGCUGCAGUGAGGGAUAUUGGUCAAUGGGGGAAACCCUGAACCAGCAACGCCGCGUGAGGGAAGACGGUUUUCGGAUUGUAAACCUCUGUCCUCUGUGAAGAUCAUGAUGGUAGCAGAGGAGGAAGCUCCGGCUAACUACGUGCCAGCAGCCGCGGUAAUACGUAGGGAGCAAGCGUUGUCCGGAGUUACGGGUUGUAAAGUGUGCGUAGGCGGCCUUGCAAGUCAGAAGUGAAAUCCAUGGGCUUAACCCGGGAACUGCUUUUGAAACUGUAGGGCUUGAGUGAAGUAGAGGCAGGCGGAAGUCCCGGUGUAGCGGUGAAAUGCGUAGAGAUCGGGAGGAACACCAGUGGCGAAGGCGGCCUGCUGGGCUUUAACUGACGCUGAAGCACGAAAGCGUGGGUAGCAAACAGGAUUAGAUACCCUAGUAGUC